GCCAGAGCAAACAAGCUAGCAAGCUACGGAGUUCGGCGCCAAUGUAUUUCUUGUAAAGUGUAUAAAAACGAAUAUGGAAGCUGGACAAAUAAGAUGCCAAAAACCAACGACUUUCAUGUGGUAUUAGACAGAAAAGAGGAACUUUUUUUCUCCUCCAUUUGAAAACGUGGACGUUACCAGCACUACUGUCAGUGGGGUUGAUGGGGGGCCGGUCAGUGGAUCAGAGCGGCAGGUGCAAGGAUCGUGGCGGAGCCUGCAGGCAAACUGGAGGGCUUGAACGCUCACUGCAGCGUUUAAUCACCCGACAUCAACAAGGAAAAGUAGCGUCCAUAUGAGGACCAGGUGAACAAGUUAGGACAUAAAACAUGGUCCCAAUAAGGAAAACCAUUGCAUCUAAUAGAGAAUGUCUCAUUGGCCCCCUGGUGGUGACAUCUAUCAAAAUUAGGGCGGUCCCAAAAAAAGGAGGGAUUUUUCAAAUUGACUGUGUGUCCGUUUUAAAAGUGCUCCCCCUCUGGUUAACAUAUGAAAUAACAAGUGUGUGUAAACAAUUUGAAGUGCUCCCCCUCUGGUCAACAUAUGAAAUAACAAGUGUGUGUGAAAAUCUGAAGUGCUCCCCCUCUGGCCAACAUAUGAAAUAACAAGUGUGUGUAAGAAAUUGAAACGCACCCCCUUUGGCCUAAAUUAAUUAAAAAAAAAAAACGUAUAUACAGACAUACUGUAAUAACUUUAAGUAAAUAAUGAAGAAUAAAAAAAAU
Nerophis ophidion (straightnose pipefish) is the source of this 755-nucleotide long non-coding RNA. RefSeq lists it as uncharacterized. Lineage: Eukaryota; Metazoa; Chordata; Actinopteri; Syngnathiformes; Syngnathidae. The transcript has 3 exons. The record is from RefSeq and is a predicted model, not a curated record.